UACGAAGGGGGCUAGCGUUGCUCGGAAUCACUGGGCGUAAAGGGUGCGUAGGCGGGUUUUUAAGUCAGGGGUGAAAUCCUGGAGCUCAACUCCAGAACUGCCUUUGAUACUGGGGAUCUCGAGUCCGGGAGAGGUGAGUGGAACUGCGAGUGUAGAGGUGAAAUUCGUAGAUAUUCGCAAGAACACCAGUGGCGAAGGCGGCUCACUGGCCCGGAACUGACGCUGAGGUGCGAAAGCGUGGGGAGCAAACAGG
Molecule: ribosomal RNA, 253 nt
Filed under: uncultured bacterium
Lineage: Bacteria
Description: partial 16S ribosomal RNA
Rfam family: Bacterial small subunit ribosomal RNA
Source: RNAcentral